This 468-nucleotide ribosomal RNA is filed under the name uncultured bacterium. Its description in RNAcentral is "partial 16S ribosomal RNA". It matches the Rfam family "Bacterial small subunit ribosomal RNA", at positions 28 to 507 of the family's 1533-position model. The record is from RNAcentral.
GACGAACGCUGGCGGCGUGCUUAACACAUGCAAGUCGAACGGACAGGCCCUGCUUUUUUGGUUUGCUCGAGUGGCGAACGGGUGAGUAACCCGUUAGUAACCUGCCCUUUACUUUGGGAUAACUUCAGGCUACUGUGCCUAAUACCGGAUAGUAGCUCCUGCUGCAUAGUGGGGGUUGGAAAGUUUCGGCGUUUGGGGAUCGACGCGCGGGUUAUCGGCUUGUUGGUGGGGUAGUGGCUUACCAAGGCUUUGACGGGUAGCCUGCCUGAGAAGGUGAACGGGGACAUUGGGACUGAGAGACGGACCAGAAGGCUACGGGAGGCAGCAGUGGGGAGUAUGGCGGAGUGGGGGGAAGCCAGAGAAAGAAACGCCGGGAGCGGGAUGACGGCCUUCGGGUGGUAAAGCGCUUACGCAUGUGACGAAGCGUAAGUGACGGUAAUGAGUAAAGAAGCAACGGCUAACUACGUG